Molecule: ribosomal RNA, 473 nt
Filed under: uncultured organism
Description: partial 16S ribosomal RNA
Rfam family: Bacterial small subunit ribosomal RNA
Source: RNAcentral
ACACUCCUACGGGAGGCAGCAGUGGGGAAUUUUGGACAAUGGGCGAAAGCCUGAUCCAGCAAUGCCGCGUGAGUGAAGAAGGCCUUCGGGUUGUAAAGCUCUUUUGUCAGGGAAGAAACGGUGAGAGCUAAUAUCUCUUGCUAAUGACGGUACCUGAAGAAUAAGCACCGGCUAACUACGUGCCAGCAGCCGCGGUAAUACGUAGGGUGCAAGCGUUAAUCGGAAUUACUGGGCGUAAAGCGUGCGCAGGCGGUUUUGUAAGUCUGAUGUGAAAUCCCCGGGCUCAACCUGGGAAUUGCAUUGGAGACUGCAAGGCUAGAAUCUGGCAGAGGGGGGUAGAAUUCCACGUGUAGCAGUGAAAUGCGUAGAUAUGUGGAGGAACACCGAUGGCGAAGGCAGCCCCCUGGGUCAAGAUUGACGCUCAUGCACGAAAGCGUGGGGAGCAAACAGGAUUAGAAACCCGAGUAGUCCCA